Molecule: long non-coding RNA, 2190 nt
Organism: Equus asinus (donkey)
Lineage: Eukaryota; Metazoa; Chordata; Mammalia; Perissodactyla; Equidae
Source: Ensembl
GGGAAUAUGUCAUAUAUUGCUCUACCUUAUCUAAUCCUCACGACAUCCCUAUGAGGCAGGGGCCUUCAUGACACUCUUCAUCAUAGAUGAGGGAACUGAGGCAUAGAGAGAUGAAGGCCACACACAAAGCAAGUGGCAGAGCUGGACUUGGACCCAAUGCUCUGGCUCCAGGAUCCACAUGCCCAUCACUCCGCUAGACUAACUCUCAAGACAGGUCUGGAAACAAAACCCGUGGACUUCAGUGAAUAGAACACAGAGGCACUGUGAGAUUAGGCAGCUUGCUGGAAGUCAUGCAGCUAGAACGUGACAGAACCAGAACUCCAAACUCAGCCCGGUCUCCAUAUCCCACACUCCUAACCAGGGGUUCUCACAAUGUGGUCUCGGGACCAGCAGCAUCAGUGUCGCCUGGGAACGGGGUAGAAAUGCAGGCUCACCCAAUUGGACUCUCCAGCGGUGGCACGUGGUUGGUUGUACUUCAACAUGCCCUCCCCUCCGGGCGAUUAUCAUGCAAGCCGAAGCCCUGAAGACGCAGAAUGAUGGGGAGCUCUGCCUUGGAAGGCAUCUUUUUGCAUGUCUGGGCAAUGCUAAUCCUUAGGAAGCGAACCCUGACUCCUCUUAUUUCACCUGUUCUAUUCUACCCCUGGGGCCAAGGAGAUGAAGUCUGUCCUUGUCUUAUCGUAUUUUCAUAGCUUGGUCCCCACGGCCCUGGCUCAGCCAGGAAAAUUAGAAAACUUCCUGGAGGGCAGGAAGGGCUCACCUGGUGGACAGGUAAAGAGGCAGGAGUCUCUGCCAGGAUGAGCAAGACGGUGAGAAGCAGGACCAGUUGGACAGAAGGGGCCAUCUGAGGGCCGGAAGGAUGGGCGCUCUGCAAAGAGAGGGUGCUGCCAUUGGGAACAAGUGAAGUUGACCAUAUGACAACAAGGGAAAGAGCCAUGAAGUCCAAAGCUUGAAGCCACAGGAAGACAGAUUUAAUAUAAAGUAGGAUGUAAGCUCGACUGGACAGUGACUUCGUUUUGGUUGGCUGCUACUUCGAUGGACAACCUGUCACAGACCUGGGCACAGCAGGCUCUCGUUAAAGACUGCUGAAUAAAUGAAGAGCUUGUAGGAGAGUGAUUGCACUUGGGGCCCCAAUUCUCCACCGUUUCCUGCAUCCAGCCCCUGCGCAAUGCACCUUUGCCACCUGCUCAUCAAGAGGCGGUCUUCUUCCUGACCUCCUGAUGUGGGCCGGCCGUGCAGCUUGGUUCAGCUGAUAAAACCCGGUGAGAGUGAGUCGUGCUGGGUGCAAUCCUGGCCCCAAGAGGCCAGGCACACCUCUGUUCCCUCUGUCUUGCUCACUCUUGGAACCCCACCACUGCCACCUGAAAAUGCUGACUAGUCUGCUAGAGAAUGGAGACCUUUUUCAGACAAGGUUGAUUCUUGCUGAGUGACAACUCACUACUCCCGCCUCUUUCACCUCCUCACACUCUAUGUAUCACUCGUCAGAGCAACGGGAAGCUGUGAAGUCUAUUUUAAGCAGGAGGAAAUGAGAACACAUAUGGCUUGAGCUAGACGGGGCUGAUGAAGACGGGGAAGGCCGUGGGGAUAUAUCCGGGAUAUAUUUUGGAGGUGGAACCAGAAGGCAUUCGGGGGGAUCAGUGAGUGGUCACCCAAGAGAGACACGCUGAAGAUGGACCAGGACACUCCUGCUGUUCACCUGCUCACACAGCGAAGGCACCUGCGCCAGGCCCCCGAGGAGAUGAAGCAGGAGGAAAACCACGGCUGUUGCCCAAUUUGCAGCUUCUGGCCACCUUCCUGGUCCCACAAGGACCCCUGUGGGCAAUAGUCUCCCUUCUCGCCACUGAAGAAGGAAGCAGGAGAGCCGAGGCCCAGCAUUCAAGGCCGCAAUCCAGGCUCUCUGGUCUGCUGGCCAGUCAAUAAAAAGGACCGUGGACGUGGUGGCCUGUGAGUCACGGGAGGCCCGUCACAGGCUGUCACAGUGGUGAUUGUGGGCACCAUGUUCUGAAGACAAAGUCAUGUCGCCGAGGAUGCCUCCAGCUCAUUGCCUCCAACUCCUGGUAGUAUUCAGCAAAAUCAGAGUUACUGAAUUUUUAAAAACAAUUUUCACACAAAUAGGCAGCAAGCCUGGGCUGAUGUUUCAUUCAGCUCACUGCAGACAGACCAGCAGUAGGUCAGAGCUGGUUCAGAAGAGGA